CAAUGGGCGCAAGCCUGAUCCAGCCAUGCCGCGUGAGUGAAGAAGGCCUUCGGGUUGUAAAGCUCUUUCGGCGGGGACGAAACGGUCCGUGACAACACCACGGACUAAUGACGGUACUCGCAGAAGAAGCACCGGCUAACUACGUGCCAGCAGCCGCGGUAAUACGUAGGGUGCAGGCGUUAAUCGGAAUUACUGGGCGUAAAGCGUGCGCAGGCGGCUCUUUAAGUCAGAUGUGAAAGCCCCGGGCUUAACCUGGGAACUGCGUUUGAAACUGGAGAGCUUGAGUGUGGAAGAGGGGGGUGGAAUUCCAGGUGUAGCAGUGAAAUGCGUAGAUAUCUGGAGGAACACCGAUGGCGAAGGCAGCCCCCUGGGCUAACACUGACGCUCAUGCACGAAAGCGUGGGGAGCAAACAGGAUUAGAUACCCUGGUAGUCCACGCCCUAAACUAUGUCAACUGGUUGUCGGGGAAGUAAUUCCUUGGUAACGAAGCUAACGCGUGAAGUUGACCGCCUGGGGAGUACG
RNAcentral lists this ribosomal RNA (522 nucleotides) under uncultured bacterium. RNAcentral describes it as "bacterial SSU rRNA". It matches the Rfam family "Bacterial small subunit ribosomal RNA", at positions 369 to 884 of the family's 1533-position model. The record is from RNAcentral.